This 592-nucleotide ribosomal RNA is filed under the name uncultured Bacteroidales bacterium. Its description in RNAcentral is "bacterial SSU rRNA". It matches the Rfam family "Bacterial small subunit ribosomal RNA", at positions 149 to 739 of the family's 1533-position model. Lineage: Bacteria; Pseudomonadati; Bacteroidota; Bacteroidia; Bacteroidales. The record is from RNAcentral.
CGGCGAAAGUCGGACUAAUACCGCAUAAAACAGGGGUUCCACAUGGAAAUAUUUGUUAAAGAAUUAUCGCUGAUAGAUGGGCAUGCGUUCCAUUAGAUAGUUGGUGAGGUAACGGCUCACCAAGUCCACGAUGGAUAGGGGUUCUGAGAGGAAGGUCCCCCACACUGGUACUGAGACACGGACCAGACUCCUACGGGAGGCAGCAGUGAGGAAUAUUGGUCAAUGGGCGAGAGCCUGAACCAGCCAAGUCGCGUGAAGGAUGAAGGAUCUAUGGUUUGUAAACUUCUUUUAUAUGGGAAUAAAGUGAGGAACGUGUUCCUUUUUGUAUGUACCAUAUGAAUAAGCAUCGGCUAACUCCGUGCCAGCAGCCGCGGUAAUACGGAGGAUGCGAGCGUUAUCCGGAUUUAUUGGGUUUAAAGGGUGCGUAGGUGGUUAAUUAAGUCAGCGGUGAAAGUUUGUGGCUCAACCAUAAAAUUGCCGUUGAAACUGGUUGACUUGAGUAUAUUUGAGGUAGNCGGAAUGCGUGGUGUAGCGUGAAAUGCACUACAUAUCACGCAGACUCCGAUUGCGAAGCAGGCUUACUAAACUAUAA